CAAUAGCGUAUAUUUAAGUUGUUGCAGUUAAAAAGCUCGUAGUUGGAUUUCGGGUGGGACGCAGCGGUCUCGCAUUGCGUUUGUACUGCUGCAGCCCUCCUUCUUGCCGGGGGCGGCCUCUCGGACUUCACUGUCUGGGGGUCAGAAUCGGCGAUGUUACUUUGAGUAAAUUAGAGUGUUCAAAGCAAGCUUACGCUCUGAAUAUAAUAGCUUGGGAUAACACGACAGGACUCUGGCCUAUCGUGUUGGUCUAUAGGACCAGAGUAAUGAUUAAGAGGGACAGUCGGGGGCAUUCGUAUUCCGUUGUCAGAGGUGAAAUUCUUGGAUUUACGGAAGACGAACAUCUGCGAAAGCAUUUGCCAAGGAUGUUUUCAUUGA
Molecule: ribosomal RNA, 378 nt
Filed under: uncultured eukaryote
Lineage: Eukaryota
Description: partial 18S ribosomal RNA
Rfam family: Eukaryotic small subunit ribosomal RNA
Source: RNAcentral